This 331-nucleotide ribosomal RNA is filed under the name Muggiaea atlantica. RNAcentral describes it as "partial 16S ribosomal RNA". The record is from RNAcentral. Lineage: Eukaryota; Metazoa; Cnidaria; Hydrozoa; Siphonophorae; Diphyidae.
UUGGCGGAGAGUUGAAUGGAUGAACGAGCGCAAAUCUGUCUUAACUUAAAGAAAUAUGAAUUAGAUAUGUUAGUGAAAAAGCUAAUUUAUAUAGCAAGACGAAAAGACCCCGUGAAGCUUAACUACAAUCUAAAAUUAUACUCUUUUAAAUAAACUUUAAUUACAUAUUUAUGUUUAGGUAGGUAGUUUUGGUGGGGUGCCAGCACGUUAAAAAAAACAUGGAGUUAUUAAAUUUAUUUUUUAAUUAAUUAGUGUAAGAUAUAACUAUAUACAAAGAUAAAAAUCUAAAAAAUGACCCGCCUAAAUAAAUUUUAAGACGACAUAAAAUAAA